RNAcentral lists this ribosomal RNA (497 nucleotides) under uncultured bacterium. RNAcentral describes it as "partial 16S ribosomal RNA". It matches the Rfam family "Bacterial small subunit ribosomal RNA", at positions 28 to 507 of the family's 1533-position model. The record is from RNAcentral.
GAUGAACGCUGGCGGCGUGCCUAAUACAUGCAAGUCGAGCGAACAGACGAGGAGCUUGCUCCUCUGACGUUAGCGGCGGACGGGUGAGUAACACGUGGAUAACCUACCUAUAAGACUGGGAUAACUUCGGGAAACCGGAGCUAAUACCGGAUAAUAUAUUGAACCGCAUGGUUCAAUAGUGAAAGACGGUUUUGCUGUCACUUAUAGAUGGAUCCGCGCCGCAUUAGCUAGUUGGUAAGGUAACGGCUUACCAAGGCAACGAUGCGUAGCCGACCUGAGAGGGUGGUCGGCCACACUGGAACUGAGACACGGUCCAGACUCCUACGGGAGGCAGCAGUAGGGAAUCUUCCGCAAUGGGCGAAAGCCUGACGGAGCAACGCCGCGUGAGUGAUGAAGGUCUUCGGAUCGUAAAACUCUGUUAUUAGGGAAGAACAAAUGUGUAAGUAACUAUGCACGUCUUGACGGUACCUAAUCAGAAAGCCCCGGCUAACUACGUG